AACGAACGCUGGCGGCAUGCCUAACACAUGCAAGUCGAACGAGACCUUCGGGUCUAGUGGCGCACGGGUGCGUAACGCGUGGGAACCUGCCCUUAGGUUCGGAAUAACUCCCCGAAAGGGGUGCUAAUACCGGAUAAUGUCUUCGGACCAAAGAUUUAUCGCCUUUGGAUGGGCCCGCGUUGGAUUAGCUAGUUGGUAGGGUAAAAGCAUACCAAGGCGACGAUGCAUGGCUGGUCUGAGAGGAGGAUCAGCCACACUGGAGCUGAGACACGGCCCAGACUCCUACGGGGAGGAGCAGUGGGGAAUAUUAGGCAAGGGGCGAAAGCCUGAUACAGCAGUGCCGCGUGAGUGAUGAAGGCCUUAGGGUUGUAAAGCUCUUUUACCCGGGAUGAUAAUGACGGUACCGGGAGAAUAAGCUCCGGCUAACUCCGUG
RNAcentral lists this ribosomal RNA (433 nucleotides) under uncultured bacterium. RNAcentral's name for it is "partial 16S ribosomal RNA". It matches the Rfam family "Bacterial small subunit ribosomal RNA", at positions 29 to 507 of the family's 1533-position model. The record is from RNAcentral.